This 1982-nucleotide long non-coding RNA is filed under the name Salmo salar (Atlantic salmon). RNAcentral describes it as "lncRNA (ENSSSAG00000086475.1)". Lineage: Eukaryota; Metazoa; Chordata; Actinopteri; Salmoniformes; Salmonidae. The record is from RNAcentral.
UCCUGACAUAAUUUGUUCCUGUCAAUUUUUUUAUUUGUGAAUUUGACUCAUAUAUCCUUUACAUUCAUUGGACAGCUAUUUUUAGAAGUGGUGUGUGUGUGUGUGUGUGUGUGUGUGUGUGUGUGUGUGUGUGUGUGUGUGUGUGUUAUUGCCUACUCUCUUCGAGUGUCAGUGAGUUGCGCCUCUGCAGUUUUCGCCACAGAGAGCGCAUUUGAGCAGCAACAAUGUUUCCUGGUUGAAGACAUUUCAAUGUAGUAUACUUUCUGCAAGUUAAUCACCUCUAAAACUAAGUUUGCGACAACACUAGAUAGCCAGAUUAGCUAGCUAGCUCAAAAACUAGCUUGUCGAACGUUAAUGGAAACUUUCACGACCAGAACCAAAGGAAAGAAAUGGAGAUCGUCCAGAUGGACAAUUAACCACAAAAGAUGGUAUGAUUUUGGAUACUCCUCUUCAGAAUGUAACUGUGGGGGGAAAUACUGCAAUGGGUGAUGAAAAUGUGGUGAGCACGGACAACAAUGCUCACAACUUGAGCCCCUCCAGUCCCCAGCUCAGGCCGUUACCUUAUGACCCCUGCACUCCAGUCAAGCCCCAGGGGAAAAAGAUGAGAGGCCAAGAGGGUAUGUCACUUCUUGAGAUGCAAAACAAUAUUGUAAUGCCUUUGACAGCAAAGAUAGAUGAAAGGGCAAAUGGCUUGGAGAUCAUGGUUAGGGCGAAUACGAUGAAAAUUGAGGCCAUUAAAAAAUCUGUUGACUUUAUCUUUGGAGAAGUGAAAACCCUCAAGUGACAUGAAGAAAAUGGAAGUUAUCUGCCAGUAAAAUUAAAAGAAGGUGGCUGAACUCGAGCAAAAGGUGAAUGAGGCGGAGAGAUACCAGCGCAGGUGGAACCUGAGGCUCCAUGGAAUUCCAGAGAAGGCGGGUGAGGACAUCAAAUGCAGAGUUGUUGACAUCUGUGGAGCUGUCAUUCCCGAAUUAAAAGCCAAACUUUAAGAAAAUGUAGACAUCGUCCAUUGUUUGGGAAUACUCAAGGAUCAAGACAAGAGACAGAGGACAACCAUCAUCCAGUUCACCAACAGAUCUACACGGGAUCUUCUCUGGAGGCGAGCGAAGAAUUGUGAAUUCCUCAUCAAGCAAAAAUUGAGGUUCACGGAGGAUCUGACCUCAGCAGACAAAGUGACAAGAGAGAAACUGUAGCCGAUGGUGGCUACAGCUCGAAAGGCAGGGAAAACUGCAUUUUUUUAUCGGUGCAAGAGUGAUCAUCGAUGGGAAAGAAAUGCGGCCAAAUCAGAACAUUUAAGAGAGAGCCAGAGUCUAACUCGGACAGAACUGUCAGGCCAAAAAACUGAUUGCCAGGAAUGCAGCCCUAGGACAAGUGAACUGGAACAAAGUUUCGUUGUUAUCUGGUAAAUAUUGUAUAUCUAAUAAGAUGAAAGAAGUAUCAUACAAACUCAUUCAUAGAAUCUACCCUGUAAAGGACUUUAUUAUACACAGAUUUAAAAUAGCUAUUGAUAGCAAAUGUGUAUUUUGUGGUUGUGACCCAGAAACUCUUGACCAUUUAUUUUGGGACUGUUCUUAUGUCAGAAGAUUUUGGAGUGAGUUAGAAGAUUUUAUUUUAAAAGAAACUAAAAUUAAUUUUAAUUUGAAAGACUCUGAUAUUAUGUUUUAUUUUGAUCCAAAUGAUAUGGACCCUGAUUUAACUUUCAUUGUUAAUUUGUUUAUCUUUCAUGGAAGAUUCUUUGUCCAUAAAAUGAAGUGGGCAGAGAACAAACCCCUCUUCACAGUAUUUAAGAUAGAAUUUAAAUAUUAUUUUGAAAUUAUCAGUAAAUGUAAAAACAAAAAAGCAAUACGCACCAUAAAAGUAUUUAACAAAUUGAAAAUGAAUCUUGAUAUGUAAUACCCCUGUCUGUUAGGUUUAUGUACUCUUGUUUGUAUAUUUCUGUUUUUUUGUAUUUGUUGUGUGCAUAAUAAAAAAAUAAAAAAUAAUAA